AUUGAACGCUGGCGGCAUGCUUUACACAUGCAAGUCGAACGGUAACAGGCCUUCGGGUGCUGACGAGUGGCGAACGGGUGCGUAAUGCAUCGGAACGUACCCAGAGGUGGGGGAUAACGCAGCGAAAGCUGUGCUAAUACCGCAUGUGAUCUGAGGAUGAAAGCGGGGGACCGAGCAGCAAUGUUUGGCCUCGCGCCUUUGGAGCGGCCGAUGUCGGAUUAGCUAGUUGGUGGGGUAAAGGCCUACCAAGGCGACGAUCCGUAGCUGGUCUGAGAGGACGACCAGCCAAACUGGGACUGAGACACGGCCCAGACGCCUACGGGAGGCAGCAGUGGGGAAUUUUGGACAAUGGGCGCAAGCCUGAUCCAGCAAUGCCGCGUGCGGGAAGAAGGCCUUCGGGUUGUAAACCGCUUUUGGCAGGAACGAAACGGUGUCCGCUAAUACCGGGCGCUAAUGACGGUACCUGCAGAAUAAGCACCGGCUAACUACGUG
Molecule: ribosomal RNA, 492 nt
Filed under: uncultured bacterium
Lineage: Bacteria
Description: partial 16S ribosomal RNA
Rfam family: Bacterial small subunit ribosomal RNA
Source: RNAcentral